This 697-nucleotide ribosomal RNA is filed under the name Psychrobacter sp. UA-AR0222. Its description in RNAcentral is "bacterial SSU rRNA". It matches the Rfam family "Bacterial small subunit ribosomal RNA", at positions 56 to 746 of the family's 1533-position model. Lineage: Bacteria; Pseudomonadati; Pseudomonadota; Gammaproteobacteria; Moraxellales; Moraxellaceae. The record is from RNAcentral.
UGCAAGUCGAGCGGUAACAUUGAUAGCUUGCUAUCAGAUGACGAGCGGCGGACGGGUGAGUAAUACUUAGGAAUCUACCUAGUAGUGGGGGAUAGCACGGGGAAACUCGUAUUAAUACCGCAUACGACCUACGGGAGAAAGGGGGCAACUUGUUGCUCUCGCUAUUAGAUGAGCCUAAGUCGGAUUAGCUAGAUGGUGGGGUAAAGGCCUACCAUGGCGACGAUCUGUAGCUGGUCUGAGAGGAUGAUCAGCCACACCGGGACUGAGACACGGCCCGGACUCCUACGGGAGGCAGCAGUGGGGAAUAUUGGACAAUGGGGGCAACCCUGAUCCAGCCAUGCCGCGUGUGUGAAGAAGGCCUUUUGGUUGUAAAGCACUUUAAGCAGUGAAGAAGACUCCGUGGUUAAUACCCACGGACGAUGACAUUAGCUGCAGAAUAAGCACCGGCUAACUCUGUGCCAGCAGCCGCGGUAAUACAGAGGGUGCAAGCGUUAAUCGGAAUUACUGGGCGUAAAGGGAGCGUAGGUGGCUCUGUAAGUCAGAUGUGAAAUCCCCGGGCUCAACCUGGGAACUGCAUCUGAAACUGUAGAGCUAGAAUAGGUGAGAGGAAGGUAGAAUUUCAGGUGUAGCGGUGAAAUGCGUAGAGAUCUGAAGGAAUACCGAUGGCGAAGGCAGCCUUCUGGUAUCAUAUUGACAC